RNAcentral lists this ribosomal RNA (406 nucleotides) under uncultured bacterium. RNAcentral describes it as "partial 16S ribosomal RNA". It matches the Rfam family "Bacterial small subunit ribosomal RNA", at positions 30 to 526 of the family's 1533-position model. The record is from RNAcentral.
AUUGAACGCUGGCGGCAGGCCUAACACAUGCAAGUCGAACGAGGGGCGGACGGGUGAGUAAUGUCUGGGAAACUGCCAGAUGGAGGGGGAUAACUACUGGAAACGGUAGAUAAUACCGCAUACCAUCGGAUGUGCCCAGAUGGGAGUAGCUAGUAGGUGGGGUAAAGGCUCAACUAGGCGACGAUCCAGCGCUGGUCUGAGAGGAUGACCAGCCACACUGGGACUGAGACACGGUCCAGACUCCUACGGGAGGCAGCAGUGGGGAAUAUUGCACAAUGGGCGCAAGUCUGAUGCAGCCAUGCCGCGUGUAUGAAGAAGGCCUUCGGGUUGUAAAGUACUUUCAGCGGUGAGGCGUUACCCGCAGAAGAAGCACCGGCUAACUCCGUGCCAGCAGCCGCGGUAAUUC